Molecule: ribosomal RNA, 504 nt
Filed under: uncultured bacterium
Lineage: Bacteria
Description: bacterial SSU rRNA
Rfam family: Bacterial small subunit ribosomal RNA
Source: RNAcentral
GAUGAACGCUGGCGGCGUGCCUAACACAUGCAAGUCGAACGAAUUACUUUAAAGGAAGUUUUCGGAUGGAAUUUAAAGUAGUUAGUGGCGGACGGGUGAGUAACGCGUGGGAAACCUGCCCUAUACAGGGGGAUAGCCUCGGGAAACUGGGAUUAAUACCCCAUAAAACUCUAGUAUCGCAUGAUACAUGAGCCAAAGAUUUAUCGGUAUAGGAUGGUCCCGCGUCUGAUUAGCUAGUUGGUGAGGUAACGGCUCACCAAGGCGACGAUCAGUAGCCGGCCUGAGAGGGUGAACGGCCACACUGGAACUGAGACACGGUCCAGACUCCUACGGGAGGCAGCAGUGGGGAAUAUUGCACAAUGGGGGAAACCCUGAUGCAGCGACGCCGCGUGAGCGAAGAAGGCCUUCGGGUCGUAAAGCUCUGUCCUAAGGGAAGAAACGGACGGUACCUUAGGAGGAAGCCCGGCUAACUACGUGCCAGCAGCCGCGGUAAAAUCACGUAUA